CCUACGGGGGGCAGCAGUGAGGAAUAUUGGUCAAUGGACGAGAGUCUGAACCAGCCAAGUAGCGUGAAGGAUGACUGCCCUAUGGGUUGUAAACUUCUUUUAUAUGGGAAUAAAACGUCCCACGUGUGGGAUUUUGUAGGUACCAUAUGAAUAAGGAUCGGCUAACUCCGUGCCAGCAGCCGCGGUAAUACGGAGGAUUCGAGCGUUAUCCGGAUUUAGUGGGUUUAAAGGGAGCGUAGGUGGAUUGUUAAGUCAGUUGUGAAAGUUUGCGGCUCAACCGUAAAAUUGCAGUUGAAUCUGGCAGUCUUGGGUACAGUAGAGGUGGGCGGGAUUCGUAGUGGAGCGGUGAAGUGCUUAGA
This 359-nucleotide ribosomal RNA is filed under the name uncultured bacterium. RNAcentral's name for it is "partial 16S ribosomal RNA". It matches the Rfam family "Bacterial small subunit ribosomal RNA", at positions 338 to 694 of the family's 1533-position model. The record is from RNAcentral.